UUAACACUGAGGCGUGAUGACGAGGCACUACGGUGCUGAAGUAACAAAUGCCCUGCUUCCAGGAAAAGCCUCUAAGCUCCAGGUAACACGAAAUCGUACCCCAAACCGACACAGGUGGUCAGGUAGAGAAUACCAAGGCGCUUGAGAGAACUCGGGUGAAGGAACUAGGCAAAAUGGUGCCGUAACUUCGGGAGAAGGCACGCUGAUAUGUAGGUGAAGUCCCUCGCGGAUGGAGCUGAAAUCAGUCGAAGAUACCAGCUGGCGGCAACGGUUUAUUAAAAAAAAAACACUGUGCAAAAAAGAAAAGGGAA
This 311-nucleotide ribosomal RNA is filed under the name Kosakonia sacchari. Its description in RNAcentral is "partial 23S ribosomal RNA". It matches the Rfam family "Bacterial large subunit ribosomal RNA", at positions 1550 to 1842 of the family's 2925-position model. The record is from RNAcentral. Lineage: Bacteria; Pseudomonadati; Pseudomonadota; Gammaproteobacteria; Enterobacterales; Enterobacteriaceae.